GGAGGAAAGCAGGGGAUCGCAAGACCUUGCGCUUUUGGAGCGGCCGAUGCCUGAUUAGCUUGUUGGUGAGGUAAAAGCUCACCAAGGCUCCGAUCAGUAGCUGGUCUGAGAGGACGACCAGCCACACUGGGACUGAGACACGGCCCAGACUCCUACGGGAGGCAGCAGUGGGGAAUUUUGGACAAUGGGGGCAACCCUGAUCCAGCCAUGCCGCGUGAGUGAAGAAGGCCUUCGGGUUGUAAAGCUCUUUCAGCCGGAACGAAACGGUCACGGUUAACACCCGUGACUACUGACGGUACCGGAAGAAGAAGCACCGGCUAACUACGUGCCAGCAGCCGCGGUAAUACGUAGGGUGCGAGCGUUAAUCGGAAUUACUGGGCGUAAAGCGUGCGCAGGCGGUUUUGUAAGUCAGAUGUGAAAUCCCCGGGCUUAACCUGGGAACUGCGUUUGAAACUACAAAGCUAG
This 465-nucleotide ribosomal RNA is filed under the name uncultured bacterium. Its description in RNAcentral is "bacterial SSU rRNA". It matches the Rfam family "Bacterial small subunit ribosomal RNA", at positions 198 to 644 of the family's 1533-position model. The record is from RNAcentral.